Molecule: ribosomal RNA, 253 nt
Filed under: uncultured bacterium
Lineage: Bacteria
Description: partial 16S ribosomal RNA
Rfam family: Bacterial small subunit ribosomal RNA
Source: RNAcentral
CACGUAGGGUGCAAGCGUUGUCCGGAAUUAUUGGGCGUAAAGAGCUCGUAGGCGGUCUGUUGCGUCCGCUGUGAAAACUCGGGGCUUAACCCCGAGCCUGCAGUGGAUACGGGCAGACUAGAGGUAGGUAGGGGAGAAUGGAAUUCCCGGUGUAGCGGUGAAAUGCGCAGAUAUCGGGAGGAACACCGGUGGCGAAGGCGGUUCUCUGGGCCUUACCUGACGCUGAGGAGCGAAAGCGUGGGGAGCGAACAGG